RNAcentral lists this ribosomal RNA (503 nucleotides) under uncultured bacterium. RNAcentral's name for it is "bacterial SSU rRNA". It matches the Rfam family "Bacterial small subunit ribosomal RNA", at positions 30 to 526 of the family's 1533-position model. The record is from RNAcentral.
AUUGAACGCUGGCGGCAUGCUUUACACAUGCAAGUCGAACGGUAACAGGGAGCUUGCUCCGCUGACGAGUGGCGAACGGGUGAGUAAUAUAUCGGAACGUACCCAAGAGUGGGGGAUAACGUAGCGAAAGUUACGCUAAUACCGCAUACGAUCCAAGGAUGAAAGCAGGGGACCUUCGGACCUUGUGCUCCUGGAGCGGCCGAUAUCUGAUUAGCUAGUUGGUGAGGUAAAGGCUCACCAAGGCGACGAUCAGUAGCUGGUCUGAGAGGACGACCAGCCACACUGGAACUGAGACACGGUCCAGACUCCUACGGGAGGCAGCAGUGGGGAAUUUUGGACAAUGGGCGCAAGCCUGAUCCAGCAAUGCCGCGUGAGUGAAGAAGGCCUUCGGGUUGUAAAGCUCUUUUGUCAGGGAAGAAACGGGAGUGGCUAAUAUCCAUUCCUAAUGACGGUACCUGAAGAAUAAGCACCGGCUAACUACGUGCCAGCCGCCGCCGUAACAC